RNAcentral lists this long non-coding RNA (1216 nucleotides) under Triticum aestivum (bread wheat). Its description in RNAcentral is "long non-coding RNA (TAES_LNC018244)". The record is from RNAcentral. Lineage: Eukaryota; Viridiplantae; Streptophyta; Magnoliopsida; Poales; Poaceae.
UCAUCCAUUUGUAAAACUUAAAACAAUGAUAGCAUCAUAGUAGAAACUAUUGUUGUGCAUUCCAUAGAAAAAACAUAAAAUGUGGGUUUACACAUAAUCUUAUUUUCUAUAAUAAAAAGCGGAACAAUUUUGUGCAGCAUACUGCUAUUUAUUUUGGGCUGUCAUUCACGACAGUAUACCUAGGCACCUCUGAUUAUUAUUAUUUUUGCCUUCUCUGAUGCGCAACUAUGCAUGCUUCUGCAUUAUGUAAAGCUUAGGCUGCAAGCUGACUGCGAGAUGGAGAAGCAGAAAACAUCAUAAUAACCGGAGAGCCAGCUGUGUGAUGCAUAAGAUGGAGAUGAAGGGAGACUUCAGCAUCACCAUGACCGCAAGGUUGAUUUAUCUGCAAGCCACUAUAAGAUUGAGAUUCAAAGAAUAAUAAUAAGGGGCCAUUAGAGUUUAAAGUAGAAGUAAAUUAACUGACACAUGUUUAAGCGUGGGUCUACCUGUGAUUGCUGCAACGAAUCCAAUAUAAUUUGUUGCACAAAAGGGUCAACCAUAACUAAGAACCAGUACUUUGAAGGCGAGGUAGCAAUUAUGAGCAAUUGAAAUUGAGAUAGAAAAAAUAGCAACUGAGGAACAUCGGGAAGAGAGGUUGACUCCAUCGAGAUUGCUAUGAGAGAGUGCGCGGAGGCUGUACCUUGAAGCAUAAGCACCUUGAUCAGGAGGCUUCGGCCCCAUGAAGCGCAGUCCAACGGAAGCACCGCUGAGCAUGUGCUGUAAAAUCAGGUUUUGCACAAACACAAUGUAUUAAGGAAAAUUAGAUCAAUCGCUAGACCUUAAUUGAUUUUUUUAGAUCUGUGCUGUCUACCUAGAUAGUCGUUACACACUUGUAUUUGUGGUAUUUGGAGUAAGCUUGUGACACCAGGAAACUCUUCACGUGCCUAAAAGCAAAUAAAUGGGAAAAGUAGCAUGAGAAUGUUCAACAAAAAGAUUUAUCUUCACAAUUUCUAUCUAUUCGUAAUCUCCAGCACACUAUGAAGUUUCAGUGAUUUGUUGUCGACCAAACAGAAGUAACUCGAGAAUAAUCGAUUAAUGCAUCCAUAGUUUGUGCUCUUUACCUAAAAUCUACAUGGAACAAUUACAGAGGGAAGUGUAGAAGAACUAUUGUGGAACUUCAACAAAAAAGGAAGCGAGCCAACAUGCUUUGCUGUAAAAGAUUUAAAUUUGCAUAUAC